This 253-nucleotide ribosomal RNA is filed under the name uncultured bacterium. RNAcentral describes it as "partial 16S ribosomal RNA". It matches the Rfam family "Bacterial small subunit ribosomal RNA", at positions 524 to 776 of the family's 1533-position model. The record is from RNAcentral.
UACAGAGGUCCCGAGCGUUGUUCGGAUUCAUUGGGCGUAAAGGGUGUGUAGGUGGCGCCGUAAGUCGGGUGUGAAAUUUCGGAGCUUAACUCCGAAACUGCAUUCGAUACUGCGGUGCUUGAGGACUGGAGAGGAGACUGGAAUUCAUGGUGUAGCAGUGAAAUGCGUAGAGAUCAUGAGGAAGAGCAGUGGCGAAGGCGGGUCUCUGGACAGUUCCUGACACUGAGACACGAAGGCCAGGGGAGCAAACGGG